Molecule: ribosomal RNA, 628 nt
Filed under: uncultured bacterium
Lineage: Bacteria
Description: bacterial SSU rRNA
Rfam family: Bacterial small subunit ribosomal RNA
Source: RNAcentral
CUAAUGCCGCAUAAGCCCACGGGUCGGCAUCGACCAGAGGGAAAAGGAGCAAUCCGCUUUGAGAUGGCCUCGCGUCCGAUUAGCUAGUUGGUGAGGUAACGGCCCACCAAGGCGACGAUCGGUAGCCGGACUGAGAGGUUGAACGGCCACAUUGGGACUGAGACACGGCCCAGACUCCUACGGGAGGCAGCAGUGGGGAAUAUUGCACAAUGGGGGAAACCCUGAUGCAGCGACGCCGCGUGGAGGAAGAAGGUCUUCGGAUUGUAAACUCCUGUUGUUGAGGAAGAUAAUGACGGUACUCAACAAGGAAGUGACGGCUAACUACGUGCCAGCAGCCGCGGUAAAACGUAGGUCACAAGCGUUGUCCGGAAUUACUGGGUGUAAAGGGAGCGCAGGCGGGAAGACAAGUUGGAAGUGAAAUCCAUGGGCUCAACCCAUGAACUGCUUUCAAAACUGUUUUUCUUGAGUAGUGCAGAGGUAGGCGGAAUUCCCGGUGUAGCGGUGGAAUGCGUAGAUAUCGGGAGGAACACCAGUGGCGAAGGCGGCCUACUGGGCACCAACUGACGCUGAGGCUCGAAAGUGUGGGUAGCAAACAGGAUUAGAUACCCUGGUAGUCCACACCGUAAAC